RNAcentral lists this ribosomal RNA (429 nucleotides) under Gemmatimonadota bacterium. RNAcentral describes it as "Gemmatimonadetes bacterium partial 16S ribosomal RNA". It matches the Rfam family "Bacterial small subunit ribosomal RNA", at positions 355 to 776 of the family's 1533-position model. The record is from RNAcentral. Lineage: Bacteria; Pseudomonadati; Gemmatimonadota.
UAGGGAAUCUUCGGCAAUGGACGAAAGUCUGACCGAGCAACGCCGCGUGAGUGAAGAAGGUUUUCGGAUCGUAAAACUUUGUUGUUAGAGAAGAACAAGGACGUUAGUAACUGAACGUCCCCUGACGGUAUCUAACCAGAAAGCCACGGCUAACUACGUGCCAGCAGCCGCGGUAAUACGUAGGUGGCAAGCGUUGUCCGGAUUUAUUGGGCGUAAAGCGAGCGCAGGCGGUUUCUUAAGUCUGAUGUGAAAGCCCCCGGCUCAACCGGGGAGGGUCAUUGGAAACUGGGAGACUUGAGUGCAGAAGAGGAGAGUGGAAUUCCAUGUGUAGCGGUGAAAUGCGUAGAUAUAUGGAGGAACACCAGUGGCGAAGGCGGCUCUCUGGUCUGUAACUGACGCUGAGGCUCGAAAGCGUGGGGAGCAAACAGG